GGAUAAGUGGCGAAAUCGGAAGACGCUUAGUUUCUGUGGUAAAAAUGCACGAAUAGCAUCACGAGUCAGGUAAUAUGCUAUUAACACUUGACAUACGUACAAACGGAAGCAGAAACGAAAAUCCUGAUUGCAACAGUUCCCGGUUCGAGUCCGGGCUUAUCCA
Molecule: transfer RNA, 163 nt
Filed under: Bacteroides phage LoVEphage
Lineage: Duplodnaviria; Heunggongvirae; Uroviricota; Caudoviricetes
Rfam family: tRNA
About the family: Transfer RNA (tRNA) molecules are approximately 80 nucleotides in length. Their secondary structure includes four short double-helical elements and three loops (D, anti-codon, and T loops).
Source: Rfam by way of RNAcentral